AGGAGGACCAUGAGCUGUUGCUGUAGAUAAGGUGUCUGAUUCCAGGAGGACCAUGAGCUGUUGCUGUAGAUAAGGUGUCUGAUUCCAGGAGGACCAUGAGCUGUUCCUGUAGAUAAGGUGUCUGAUUCCAGGAGGACCAUGAGCUGUUCCUGUAGAUAAGGUGUCUGAUUCCAGGAGGACCAUGAGCUGUUCCUGUAGAUAAGGUGUCUGAUUCCUGGAGGACCAUGAGCUGUUGCUGUCGAUAAGGUGUCUGAUUCCAGGAGGACCAUGAGCUGUUGCUGUAGAUAAGGUGUCUGAUUCCAGGAGGACCAUGAGCUGUUCCUGUAGAUAAGGUGUCUGAUUCCAGGAGGACCAUGAGCUGUUCCUGUAGAUAAGGUGUCUGAUUCCAGGAGGACCAUGAGCUGUUCCUGUAGAUAAGGUGUCUGAUUCCAGGAGGACCAUGAGCUGUUCCUGUAGAUAAGGUGUCUGAUUCCAGGAGGACCAUGAGCUGUUGCUGUAGAUAAGGUGUCUGAUUCCAGGAGGACCAUGAGCUGUUCCUGUAGAUAAGGUGUCUGAUUCCAGGAGGACCAUGAGCUGUUCCUGUAGAUAAGGUGUCUGAUUCCAGGAGGACCAUGAGCUGUUGCUGUAGAUAAGGUGUCUGAUUCCAGGAGGACCAUGAGCUGUUCCUGUAGAUAAGGUGUCUGAUUCCAGGAGGACCAUGAGCUGUUGCUGUAGAUAAGGUGUCUGAUUCCAGGAGGACCAUGAGCUGUUCCUGUAGAUAAGGUGUCUGAUUCCAGGAGGACCAUGAGCUGUUCCUGUAGAUAAGGUGUCUGAUUCCAGGAGGACCAUGAGCUGUUCCUGUAGAUAAGGUGUCUGAUUCCAGGAGGACCAUGAGCUGUUCCUGUAGAUAAGGUGUCUGAUUCCAGGAGGACCAUGAGCUGUUCCUGUAGAUAAGGUGUCUGAUUCCAGGAGGACCAUGAGCUGUUCCUGUAGAUAAGGUGUCUGAUUCCAGGAGGACCAUGAGCUGUUGCUGUAGAUAAGGUGUCUGAUUCCAGGAGGACCAUGAGCUGUUCCUGUAGAUAAGGUGUCUGAUUCCAGGAGGACCAUGAGCUGUUCCUGUAGAUAAGGUGUCUGAUUCCAGGAGGACCAUGAGCUGUUCCUGUAGAUAAGGUGUCUGAUUCCAGGAGGACCAUGAGCUGUUGCUGUCGAUAAGGUGUCUGAUUCCAGGAGGACCAUGAGCUGUUGCUGUAGAUAAGGUGUCUGAUUCCAGGAGGACCAUGAGCUGUUGCUGUAGAUAAGGUGUCUGAUUCAUCAUUUUCACCUCGAAUAGAUGUAGAGGGACAUUUGUCAGAGGUAGCUUGUUGUGAACGCUGAGGGAACUUUAUGCACUUGGCCAGAUGAUUCUGCAUCUUUGUUGCAUUAUUCACAUAUGAUUUGGCACAGUAUUCGCAAAUGUACACAGCUUUUCCUUCUACAUUAGCUGCAGUGAAAUUUCUCCACACAUCAGAUAGUGCCCGUGGCAUUUUCCUGUAAAGAUUAGAAAAAAAGAGAGAAAAAAAUAAAAUUCCAUGUACAGAUAAAUAGUUAAGCAGUUAGAUUAAACAAUUCCUUUGUAAGAUAUAUAUUUUUAAAUGAAACAUGUAUGGCAACAGGUGAAUUAACACUCCUCCGUUAGCAGGCUCAAGCAAGCUAAAACCAGACAUGGUAGCAAAAACUAACCAGCAGAAAUGGUUAAGUUAGAAAUGAUUUAAACACACUUGGCUGUAGGCUACAAUUUACUAGUUAACAAAAAAUCAUGUGUCAUAUAAAAUAUAUUCACCCCACCCAGUACUGUAUUCAAAACUUACCAGAAAGCAUAUAAAAUGGAUUAAAAUUCAAAUAAAUCUCUGCAAUCUGCACACAAUAAUGACAAACCAAAAACAGGAUUAAUACCUUAUUUAUAUAAGUAUUCAGCCCCAUUGCUAUGAGACUCGAAAUUGAGCUCAAGUGCUUCAUGAUUUCAUUGAUCAUCCUUGAAAUGUUUCUACAACUUGAUUCAAGUCCAACUAUGGUAAAUUAUAUUGAUUGGACAUGAGUUGGAAAGGGCACACACCUGUCUAUAUAAGGUCCCACAGUUGACAGUGCAUGUCAGAACAAAAACCAAGCCAUGAGGUGGAAGGAAUUGUCCGUAGAGUGCCGAGACAGGAUUGAGUCGAGGCACAGAUCUGGGGAAGGUACUAAAAAAUGUCUGCAGCAUUGAAGGUCAGCAAGAACACAGUGGCCUCCAUCAUUCUUAAAUGGAAGAAGUUUGGAACCACCAAGACUCUUCCUAGAGCUGGCCGCCCGGCCAAACUGAGCAAUCAGGGGAUAAGGGCCUUCGUCGUGGUUCGUCGUGGAGGUGAACAGUGCAAAGUUCAGAGAGAUCCUUGAUGAAAACCUGCUCCAGAGUGCUCAGGACCUCAGACUAGGGCGAAGGACAACAACCCUAAGCACACAGACAAGACAAUGCAGGAGUGGCUGUGGGACAAGUCUCUGAAUGUCCUUGAGUGGGCCAACCAGAGCCCAGACUUAAACCCGAUCUAAUAUCUCUGGAGAGACUUGAAAAUAACUGUGCAGCAACACUCCCCCCAUCCAACCUGACAGAGUUUGGGUGGAUCUGCAGAGAAGAAUGGGAGAAACUCCCCAAAUACAGGUCUCCCAAAUACAGGUGUGUCAACCUGUAUUGGCACGACAAUGAUUUAAUCAAUUUUAGAACAAGGCUGUAACCUACCAAAAUGUAGAAAAGGUCAUGGGAUAUGAAUACUUCCUGAAGGCACUGUACAUUCUUUCCUACGGUAAAUGGCAGCGCGAGGCGUCAACAAGAUCUUAAUAAGAUACUUUAUCCCACUCAGAACUGAUUAGCAUCAACCCGAACUCUUUCAACUGGAUAGUAACAGUCCAAGGUCCAUUCCUGUAAAGAACCCUGACCUGCAGUGGGCCAAGACACUACACUACAUUCAUCAUUUGACAGUAAAUCAGGAAGUCUUCAACAGCCUAAACUAUUAAAUGAAAUCUCACUAGAACUGAUUAGAGUAUGACUGGAAGAUAGUGUAUAUUCAAUAAACUAGUUCUAGAGAUGGGGAUCUGAGGCAGACCUAUCUAUACCCUGACAAGCCACUAUUAUACUUUUAAUAAAACCAUAAUCUGCAGCAGCCAGUCAAGCGAAGUGAUCUGUGCGGGCUCGGGGGCAUUCAGCGGGGACAGAUGUAGAUUUGAUUUGCAUGACCAAGCGUGCCACAAAUAAGAGGGGGAAAAAACAUGGAGCAAACGGGGCAAGCGCAAUAUGAUCUCCGUUCUGUCAUAUUGCAAUAGCUUAUGCAACGAAAUUAUUAUUUUUUUAAAUCAAGGUUUGACGACUAAAUACAUCUAAAACAUAUGAAAAGAUAAACAAAUUACGUUCUGAAGGAUGUGAAACUAUUCAUAUUCGAAAUUUCCCAGCACUAGGCCAACUGCAUGGGUCGGUUUUAGUGAGCAGCAGAAAUUUGUCCUCGAGGUUGA
Oncorhynchus keta (chum salmon) is the source of this 3495-nucleotide long non-coding RNA. RefSeq lists it as uncharacterized. The transcript has 7 exons. The record is from RefSeq and is a predicted model, not a curated record. Lineage: Eukaryota; Metazoa; Chordata; Actinopteri; Salmoniformes; Salmonidae.